Molecule: long non-coding RNA, 1303 nt
Filed under: Sinocyclocheilus grahami
Lineage: Eukaryota; Metazoa; Chordata; Actinopteri; Cypriniformes; Cyprinidae
Description: lncRNA (ENSSGRG00000021771.1)
Source: RNAcentral
GAUUAUAAGGAGGCAACAACUCACCUCAUCGCCAAAAAAAGCUUUAGCGAGUGAAAAGUUUAUUGCAGCCUGUGCUUGAGGGAAGUGGAUAGUCACUCCAGAGUUUGUUCUGCUCCCAGAGGCUUCAUAUGAAUUAAACUUAACAGCUCAGAUUCCUGAAACACCCAAUCCACUGAAAACAUGGAGAGAGAGAGAGAGAGGGUGUCUAAUGGCACUGUGUCUGGAGCUUUUCAGGUGAACGUCACUAUAUUGUUAACUCGCUUAGAAAACGGCUGAAAGAAAUUAAACAUGUUUCAUUUCCCAUCUCCACCUGUAGGACUGGGUAGUGCUCAUUGACAUUGAUGAUCCAGCGAGGAGAAGUGUGUAUGUCAGGUCAGGAUGUGCACAGUGACAAUUUUGUACAACAUGCCUUCAGAAAUGUCGUUGAUGUAGUUGGAGGUUCAUGGUGAAACUGCUAAUGGGAAUUCUUACAAACCACAUUUUGUUUGCAGGAUAUUAAAAGCAGGCAGAGCUGUUGUCAUCACAGACUGGUCGACUUCAAAUGAUGUAACUCACGUGAUAACCACAAAUACAUCCAAAGAUAAAGGCGAGAAGUGCAGAAUCCCUCACUAUAGUGUCAGCUAUGUAGCCAAACAUCUUUUUGGGCAUGUUUGCUCAGUUAAACUGGUCCUGUAAUUUGGAGUCCUUCGAUGAACAAGAGAGCUGUGAAAUGGCCAUCGAUGUUGCUGUAAUCAUUGAGUCUAUGGAUGUUACUGAUGACAUUUCACAAGAAGAAUUGGAGGAAAUGCUCAAAGAAUACAUCAUAAUAAUGGAGCAACGGAAGAAAAUGCUUUUGACAGUCCCAGAGUUCUACAGCUACUGCACACCCAACCUGCCAGUUCAGAUUCAGCAAUGUGCAGAGCUUGGUAGAGUGUGCUUCUUCCCUCAAGCUCUGGAGGAGAUUCUGGGGUCCCUGCAGCCUGGAGUGAUGCCCCCAGUCACACACUGCAUGUUGAUGCAAAGCCAUUGUACCUCAGCAUGUUUAUCACAGUUCUCCACAGUAUCCUGCACAGCAAUCCUACCUGGGGUUCUCCUGGACACACAAAGUACUUUCUCCAGAUCCUGCAGUGUCCAGAAUAGUGUGUCUAGCAAGCGAACCCACCUGUCACUCACUGCCAAGCCCACCAUCCACUGAGUUGUUUUGUCUCCAUUGUAACCUGCAGGAGUCCUUCCUGAGACUAUUUCAGCGGGAGCUUCAUGCUGCUAGCUCAGGGUGAGCACCUGAGCUCUGUUCAUCACUGCUUCAAUAAAAAAACUACUUUUU